RNAcentral lists this transfer RNA (69 nucleotides) under Candidatus Altarchaeales archaeon WOR_SM1_86-2. Its description in RNAcentral is "Candidatus Altiarchaeales archaeon WOR_SM1_86-2 tRNA-Arg". It matches the Rfam family "tRNA". Rfam says of the family: Transfer RNA (tRNA) molecules are approximately 80 nucleotides in length. Lineage: Archaea; Nanobdellati; Candidatus Altarchaeota; Candidatus Altarchaeia; Candidatus Altarchaeales. The record is from RNAcentral.
GCCUGUAGGGUAGUCUGGAUAUCCUGUGGGACUUCGGAUCCCACGACCUGGGUUCGAAUCCCGGCAGGU